Molecule: non-coding RNA, 539 nt
Organism: Lupinus albus (white lupine)
Lineage: Eukaryota; Viridiplantae; Streptophyta; Magnoliopsida; Fabales; Fabaceae
Source: the annotation of a GenBank genome assembly
CCAUCUUCUCUCAUGUCAUACCCUUCCAAACAACCAACCAUUAAUUUUCCUCCUAAAUUUACUACUAGUACUAAGAAGUCACAUUAUGUUUUGACAGAAAAUGCGCAGAGACUACAACUUGUAGUUUCUUCCACUACACAUUAACCUUUUUCAUAUCUUUACCCAACCAAUAUCACCCCUUCAAAGUAAAGAAGAAGAAAAACUGAAGAAGAAAAGGAGGUAGAAUCACAUCAAAAGCAAAAUAUGGUGAAGCCUAUGGCUGCAACAAGAGGCUAUGGAAUGAAAGAAUGGCCGUGUUCCUGGGAAAGCAAAUGAAGGAAGGGGACAUUUCUUCAUUUCAGCUUUGGGUUUCUACAUUUUGCAGUAAACGGUGAUGCAUCUAAUCCUGUAGGAUUUCGGUCAGUGAUGCUUUAAAUUUUGGGGGACCCUUGAGGUAAAGACCACAGUGCCUUCACCAUCCCAACACUGUUUUAUUACCGUUUCAAAUUUAAUGUCAGUCUUUGCUUUUGUUUCUUUUACAAAAUGUAUUCAUUUUUCUU